GUGACACGAAAAUCAAACUCGCAGCUCUGCAUAUCUUCCACCCCGACUCUCGCCCAUCAAUGUCUGCAACUCUCUUUCUCUCUCGAUCACCUUCAUACCUCAUCAUCUCAUCCUCCUUAAACCCAAAACCUCCCAGAACCCCCAAACACACCCCAACCCCCACAAACCCCACAGAAUUCUCAGUCUCCGUAAAGCAACCCCUUUCGCAAUCCGAUGCCGCCAUUAAGAUGCCCGCAGCUCCAUGGAUGCAGGGCCCCCUUCUUCUCCAACCCCAUGAAGUUCUUGACCUCUCCAAACCCAACAACGACAAGAAGAACUUCAACAAUGCCAAGGUCGAGAAGGCCGAUAAGGCGCUGACUGAGAAAGUUGGCGUGAGAGGGACGAGAGCAGUGAAUAAGAUCGUCAGAAGCAUCGGAAGACUCCGAAAGAGUGAAAGUUCUGAUGAAACCCAGAAGGAUUCUGGGGAAUUUGGAUUUGGGGAUUGCUUGGAACAGCUUGGGGAAGAUAAAGGUACGAGAAAUGGCUGGAAAAUGCCGUGGGAAAGCAACGAGGGGUUUAUUUUUCGGAGGACGAAGAAGGAAAAGGCGGAGACUGAGGCAGAGUUGAGGCUUGACAAAGCGUUGCUUGAGAGGUUGAGAGGUGAGGCCGCAAAUAUGGGGCAGUGGGUGAAGGUUAAGAAAGCUGGGGUGACUCAAGGUAUAGUUGAUGAGAUUAAAAUGGUUUGGAGGAGGAAUGAGCUUGCUAUGUUAAAAUUUGAUGUCCCUUUGCGCCGGAAUAUGGAUAGAGCACGAGAAAUCGUCGAGAUCAAGACGGGAGGCCUGGUUGUAUGGUGUAAGAAAGAUAUUCUUGUUGUCUAUCGAGGAUGCAAGUAUCAGUCGUCUGUGGAUAGUUUUUUAAAGACGCAUGCGGGGGUUGCUGGCCGUCGAGGGGUGCCUUAUUAUGAAAUUAACUCCAAUGAAAGUGGUUUAGAUGAAAUGAUGCGCAGAAAGGAAAGUGAGGGGAAGACUUUACCAAGUGCCGACUUUUUAAAAGAGGAUUUGGAUAGCCAACCGGUCAGUGGAUCUCUUUAUGAGAGGGAAACAGACAGAUUAUUGGAUGGCUUGGGACCCCGCUUCAUUGACUGGUGGAUGCACAAACCUUUGCCUGUAGAUGCAGACUUACUUCCUGAAGUGGUUCCUGGAUUUAGGCCUCCCUUUAGGCUCUGUCCGCCGCAUGCUAGAGCAAAACUGACAAAUGAUGAAUUGACAUACUUGAGGAAGCUUGCCCACCCUUUACCUACUCAUUUUGUCCUUGGGAAAAACAGAAAACUUCAAGGCUUAGCUGUGGCCAUUUUAAAACUUUGGGAGAAAAGUCUGAUCGUGAAGAUUGCUUUGAAGUGGGGAAUCCCGAAUACAGACAAUGAGCAAAUAGCAUAUGAACUCAAGCAUCUUACAGGAGGAGUUCUUUUGCUGCGUAAUAAGUUUCUGGUCAUACUUUAUAGAGGCAAGGACUUUCUACCUGGCAGAGUUGAAAAUUUGAUAGAGGAGAGAGAAACCGAGCUCAAAAGAUGCCAACUUUAUGAAGAAGGUGCACGGCUGAAAGCAAUUGAAGCCAUUUGUGUGGAUAAUGGAUUAAUGGAAAACACUAGCACAUCUGGAACUUUAUCAGAAUCCCAGUAUAUCCAAACAGAGUUCAGGGACCUGAAAAACAGAAAUACCAAGAGAGAAAUCAAAUUGGAAGCCGAAAAGCAAAGAUUAGAGAGGGAACUAAGAGAGCAAGAGCGCAAGCUUUUCAUUCUUAACGUAAAGAUAGAGAAGUCGAUGAAGGAGUUAUCAAUGUUGAAUGGUGCAUGGGCACCUGUUGAACAGGAUGCUGACCAGGAAAUGAUAACAGAAGAGGAGAGAAAAUGUUUCGAGAAAAUGGGACUGAAGAUGGAUAGUUGUUUAGUGCUUGGCAGGCGUGGCGUCUUUGAUGGUGUAAUAGAAGGCUUGCAUCAACACUGGAAGUACAGAGAAGUAGCCAAGGUGAUUACAAUGCAGAGAUUGUUUCGACAGGUCAUUUAUACUGCUAAAUUGCUUGAAGCAGAAAGCAGUGGAAUUCUAGUUUCAGUGAACAAGCUAAAAGACGGUCAUGCUAUAAUUAUUUACCGUGGGAAGAACUACAGACGGCCUCUAAAACCGGUGCCUGAAAAUCUUCUAACCAAGAGAGAAGCAUUACAUAGAUCCCUUGAGAUGCAGAGAAUUGGAUCGCUGAAGUUUUUUGCUUAUCAGAGACAGCUGGCAAUUACAGAUUUGAAACGCAAAUUGGCAAAUCUACCAGAUAGCAGAUCUAUUGCUCUAAGAGAAUGUGAAGUUUCACAAAUCAUUAGGUGAUAGAUUUAGCAUGCCGUGAUUCCCAUUACAUGUUCAGUUUAUUUGAGGGAGGAAGGAUGUGGAUUUCCUGUGGGAUGGGAAUUCUCCAUCUGCUGGCCACCAAAUUACUUUGCAUGCAACAAAGAAUGACUAGUGUCACUGUAAUACUGCAAACUCCGACCACUGAUCCUGCAUACAUUAAAGACAGCAAACACCAGAGACAUACA
This is a non-coding RNA of Corylus avellana, 2557 nucleotides long. NCBI's taxonomy places the organism in Eukaryota, Viridiplantae, Streptophyta, Magnoliopsida, Fagales, Betulaceae. The record is from RefSeq and is a predicted model, not a curated record.